This 740-nucleotide long non-coding RNA is filed under the name Homo sapiens (human). Its description in RNAcentral is "MIR663A host gene". The record is from RNAcentral. Lineage: Eukaryota; Metazoa; Chordata; Mammalia; Primates; Hominidae.
AUUCUCCCGUGACGGUGACUCCAACGGUUGGCUGAGGACGAUUCCCUGAGCCUUGACAAAGCAGGAGCCCUCCGUGGCGGUGCGUCGGUGUCGAGGCUCCAGUCUGACUAAUCCAGGGGGUCGACAAAACAGAUUCGGGACACUAUGCUACACGGAGGGCCUACCAGGAUGCAGAAACAGCAGACGGAGUCCAGGGAAAGCAGUGCGGCAUCCCAGCCUCAGGCCUGCCCGUACGGUGUUCGGACGGAAUGAAGUUGAUAAUAGUGAGACCUUGUUGGUACAAGACUAUGUAACAUAACCUGCGCUUCUCAACAAAGAAUUGCUUUUCUGACUUCUGCACUCAACUACUCAACAUGAAGGCAAUAAGAAUGAAGACCUCUAUGUAUAAUAAUUGACUUCCACUUAAUAAAUAGCACCUCCUACGAACCAGGAUCUGUACUUGCUGUCCCAGUUAUAAAGUAAAACAGCCUGUCCUUCCUGCACUCAAGGAGACAGCUCCAUAAGCGGGGAGCUUGUUAAAAAUGCAGAAUUUGGGGAACUAUUCACAGAGAUUUUUACUAAGUUACGUGGAAAAAAGCCUGGGACUAGCUACGAUCUCCCCUCUGGUGAUUUGGAUGUGAUAGUCUCUUAAACAUAUUUUGAAAUAUACUCGCCCAAAGAAUGGAGAAAGACCCAGCCGGCCCUCCUCAUGUGGCUGCUGAGGGAGAUAUAUGUAUAAUUAAAAAACUGCCAAAAACAAA